GUUCUACUGGUGUUACUGGUUCUGCUGGUGAGACGAUGUGUUCACAGGAAACCUGACGUGAGAGAUUCAGCUGCAGUGCCCUCAUCAGUGACAUCUGAAGACACCAGUUAUGCAGAAAUCAUCAUCAAAGAGAAGCAAAACAAUUCAAAGAUGAGAGAGACUGACACACAUGUCGUGUACUCAGCAGUGAGAACUGAAGCUGUCAGUUAUGGACAAACAGCUGUCACACCAAACAGGCAAAGAGGAGUCGCCACAGCAAAUCACCUGUGUGCAUCUCACCCCAGUAUGCAUUUGUUGGAUCGAGAUGCUGUCAUAGAGGGGAUAUCCGUAACAUGCUCAUCUCAGGCACAAUGGCCACGCCCACCUAAGGGCAGACAAUCACAUGAAUGUUUGACGAAUGUUAAAGGUCAAAUCAGACAGAGAAUGAGGACAGAGGCUACAGCAAGGUUCAGUAUAAGAUAGAUAAGGUUUAUUUAUAACUGUGAAUCAUGCAAAGCUACUAUAAAUAGAGAGAAUUCAUGUUAAAUGUGGGUUGUAUCUAUUAUCCUGUCCUGCAGCGUGGAAGCAGACAGUUUCCCAUGUAAGUAUAGCACAAAUUACAACUAAACUCAAAUAAAGCCAAUAUCAAUGUGUUUCAACCCAGUUACUUCCUGUCUUCCUACGCAGUUCAUUUUUUCCUAUACACAUGGGUCAAACUGGGUCAUGGUUUGCACACCCACACCGCUUUACUGCUACAACACAACUGA
Oreochromis niloticus (Nile tilapia) is the source of this 746-nucleotide long non-coding RNA. RefSeq lists it as uncharacterized. The transcript is spliced from 4 exons. The record is from RefSeq and is a predicted model, not a curated record. Lineage: Eukaryota; Metazoa; Chordata; Actinopteri; Cichliformes; Cichlidae.